This 105-nucleotide non-coding RNA is filed under the name Streptantibioticus cattleyicolor. RNAcentral describes it as "Streptomyces cattleya Glycine sequence". It matches the Rfam family "Glycine riboswitch aptamer". From Rfam's summary of the family: This family represents the bacterial glycine riboswitch. Glycine riboswitches usually consist of two metabolite-binding aptamers domains with similar structures in tandem. The aptamers cooperatively bind glycine to regulate the expression of downstream genes. The record is from RNAcentral. Lineage: Bacteria; Bacillati; Actinomycetota; Actinomycetes; Kitasatosporales; Streptomycetaceae. RNAcentral also lists the same sequence under 1 other name.
UGACCCCGUGCGGGAGAGUCCGGAAGACAGUGGAAGCACUGGCUCCGGCGCCGAAGGAGCAAAUCCUCCCCGGAAUCUCUCAGGCAUCCGUACCGCACGGACGAG